CUUCCAACAUAAUUGUGACCAACUUUGUAGUGUGAUUGUUGUGAUCAUUUCAGUCUAAAUUUGUGACUAUAUAUAAUCAAGUCACAUACAGUCACAAUUAACAUAAAUCUAGCCACAAACAUUCACUAUGAAGAUAGACUAGGUCACACUCGAUUUCCACCACCACUACCAAAUGCGCACCACCAACACCUUCAACAAAUCCCAGCCACCACCACCAAGACCAUCUGCAUCACCGUACAACAUGAAGAUCCACUGCUCGUACCUGUAAGCAGCGGCGCACCUCUUUUGAAGCCUCCAAACGUCAGCAAACAUUCAGGUCUACCAUUGCAUAUCGCCUGACAUCUUCCUAAUAAAUUCUGGCAACUACAAUUUUACCCUACCAGCAUUAAUUGCAGUAACUACCACUAACUAUAGCACCCUAACGCACCAAAAAAUAAGCCAAAGACCAGUACCUACAGACUAUCUUUUGUGCAACUCUACCUUUUCCGAUGAUGCCCAUGCCAGUACCACCACACCGGUUGACCAUACUUAUCAAUGGGCAUGUAUUUAUGGUUUAAUAUCAUCAAACAACGACAUACAAUCCAAAUUCGUAAACUUGUUCUUCGCAUAACCAAGCACGCACAUUUCAAUUUCAAUUUUUAGCUUCGACAAUAAGCCCCAUGAUCGCAAACCACCUUCUCGGACAUCCUCACAUCAUAUCGCAUCUAUUGCUACCAUGGGCCUAACCUUGCUGCAUCGAUGCACGUAAAAGUUCGUCCUUGUGUGCGACGAUUCUUCUUUAUGGGAAAGAAGGGACAAGUAAGUGAGGGUCUACCACGCACAGAGAUAUAAGAAAGAAGAAGUAGG
This 846-nucleotide long non-coding RNA is filed under the name Olea europaea subsp. europaea. The record is from RNAcentral. Lineage: Eukaryota; Viridiplantae; Streptophyta; Magnoliopsida; Lamiales; Oleaceae.